UACGUAGGGGGCUAGCGUUGUCCGGAAUUACUGGGCGUAAAGGGCUCGUAGGCGGCCAACUAAGUCAUACGUGAAAUCCCUCAGCUUAACUGGGGAACUGCGUGUGAUACUGGAUGGCUUGGAUUUGGGAGAGGGAUGCGGAAUUCCAGGUGUAGCGGUGAAAUGCGUAGAUAUCUGGAGGAACACCGGUGGCGAAGGCGGCAUCCUGGACCAAUAUUGACGCUGAGGAGCGAAAGCUAGGGGAGCAAACGGG
This 253-nucleotide ribosomal RNA is filed under the name uncultured bacterium. RNAcentral's name for it is "partial 16S ribosomal RNA". It matches the Rfam family "Bacterial small subunit ribosomal RNA", at positions 524 to 776 of the family's 1533-position model. The record is from RNAcentral.